UCCCUGGUGGUCCAGUGGUUAGGACUUGGCGCUUUCACUGCCAUGGUCCCAGGUUCAAUACCUGGUCGGGGAG
This 73-nucleotide transfer RNA is filed under the name Eschrichtius robustus (grey whale). Its description in RNAcentral is "tRNA-Glu". It matches the Rfam family "tRNA". From Rfam's summary of the family: Transfer RNA (tRNA) molecules are approximately 80 nucleotides in length. The record is from RNAcentral. Lineage: Eukaryota; Metazoa; Chordata; Mammalia; Artiodactyla; Eschrichtiidae.